Molecule: ribosomal RNA, 497 nt
Filed under: uncultured bacterium
Lineage: Bacteria
Description: partial 16S ribosomal RNA
Rfam family: Bacterial small subunit ribosomal RNA
Source: RNAcentral
GACGAACGCUGGCGGCGUGCCUAAUACAUGCAAGUUGAGCGCUGAAGGUUGGUACUUGUACCAACUGUAUGAGCAGCGAACGGGUGAGUAACGCGUGGGUAAUCUGCCUUUGAGCGGGGGACAACAUUUGGAAACGAAUGCUAAUACCGCAUAAAAACUUUAAACACAAGUUUUAAGUUUGAAAGAUGCAAUUGCAUCACUCAAAGAUGAUCCCGCGUUUUAUUAGCUAGUUGGUGAGGUAAAGGCUCACCAAGGCGAUGAUACAUAGCCGACCUGAGAGGGUGAACGGCCACAUUGGGACUGAGACACGGCCCAAACUCCUAAGGGAGGCAGCAGUAGGGAAUCUUCGGCAAUGGACGAAAGUCUGAACGAGCAACGCCGCGUGAGUGAAGAAGGUUUUCGGAUCGUAAAACUCUGUUGGUAGAGAAGAACGUUGGUGAGAGUGGAAAGCGCAUCAAGUGACGGUAACUACUCAGAAAGGGACGGCUAACUACGUG